AGGAACAUAGCUCAGUUGGUAGAGCACCUGCUUUAUGUACAGUAAGUCCCCAGUUCGAUUCUGGGUGUUCCAU
RNAcentral lists this transfer RNA (73 nucleotides) under Caudoviricetes sp. RNAcentral's name for it is "tRNA-Ile". It matches the Rfam family "tRNA". Rfam says of the family: Transfer RNA (tRNA) molecules are approximately 80 nucleotides in length. Their secondary structure includes four short double-helical elements and three loops (D, anti-codon, and T loops). Further hydrogen bonds mediate the characteristic L-shaped molecular structure. tRNAs have two regions of fundamental functional importance: the anti-codon, which is responsible for specific mRNA codon recognition, and the 3' end, to which the tRNAs corresponding amino acid is attached (by aminoacyl-tRNA synthetases). tRNAs cope with the degeneracy of the genetic code in two manners: having more than one tRNA (with a specific anti-codon) for a particular amino acid; and 'wobble' base-pairing, i.e. permitting non-standard base-pairing at the 3rd anti-codon position. The record is from RNAcentral. Lineage: Duplodnaviria; Heunggongvirae; Uroviricota; Caudoviricetes.